Molecule: long non-coding RNA, 518 nt
Filed under: Citrus sinensis (sweet orange)
Lineage: Eukaryota; Viridiplantae; Streptophyta; Magnoliopsida; Sapindales; Rutaceae
Description: long non-coding RNA (CSIN_LNC005768)
Source: RNAcentral
AUCAAUAUAAUAUAUAAAUUAUGCCAUUUGAACUUCUGAAAAUACUACUUAAUUCAAACUUCUAGUUGGGAAGGGAGUGUGAUGAGAGAAGACUGUCAAAAGGAUAAAGAUUAGAGAAGAGGGAGGAACCCAGUAUAAAAAUUUUGCAAUGCAUGCUUAAUCAUCUACUAGUUUUAUAAUAAGGUUUCUAUAAUACUAGGCAUGUUUGACUAAAUAAUUUGAAUUAAAGGCUUCUACAUGCAAACUAUUGCUCAGUUUGAACUUCAGAUGAGGAACAAUAGGUGGGUGUGCGAGACCAGGUUAUAGUUCUUUUUCAAGGAAAUCCAGUCUGUUUAGCGACUUGAGAAAACAUCAGCCAACAAUGUUAUUUCCUUUUUAGAAUUCAUUUUAUCUUUUCCCAGUCAUGUGAUGCAGAGAGAAAGUGUUCAUUGAUUAGCAGCUGGUUAAUCCUGAAAGAAUCCAUAUAAAGUUAAAUGUAAUGUGUCACCUAGUCCUUGGAUGUCCAGACAUUUUGUUUU